RNAcentral lists this long non-coding RNA (1203 nucleotides) under Mytilus galloprovincialis (Mediterranean mussel). Lineage: Eukaryota; Metazoa; Mollusca; Bivalvia; Mytilida; Mytilidae. The record is from RNAcentral.
GCUCACCUGACCUGAAAGGUCAAGUGAGUUUUUCUCAUCACUUGGCGUCCGUCGUCCGUCGUCCGUCCGUAAACUUUUACAAAAAUCUUCUCCUCUGAAACUACUGGGCCAAAUUCUACCAAACUUGGCCACAAUCAUCCUUGGGAUAUCUAGUUUAAAAAAUGUGUGGCGUGACCCGUCAAACCAACCAAGAUGGCCGCCAUGGCUAAAAAUAGAACAUAGGGGUAAAAUGCAGUUUUUGGCUUAUAACUCAAAAAACCAAAGCAUUUAGAGCAAAUCUGACAUGGGGGUUAAAUUGUUUAUCAGGUGAAGAUCUAUCUGCCCUGAAAUUUUCAGACGAAUCGGAUAACCUGUUGUUGGGUUGCUGCCCCUGAAAUGGUUAUUUUAAGGAAAUUUUGCAGUUUUUGGUUAUUAUCUUGAAUACUAUUAUAGAUAGAGAUAAACUGUAAACAGCAAUAAUGUUCAGCAGAGUAAGACCUACAAAUAAGUCAACAUGACCAAAAUUGCCAGUCGACCCCUUAAGGAGUUAUUGCCCUUUAUAGUCAAUUUUUAACAACUUUUCAUCAUUUUUUGUAACUUUUCUAAAAAUCUUCUUCUCUAAAACUACUUUGCCAAAUUUAAUCAAACUAGGCGACAAUUAUCAUUGUGGUUUAUAGUUUAAAAAAUGUGUCCGAUGACCCAGCCUACCAAACAAAAUGGCCGACAUGGCUAAAAUUAGAACAUAGUGGUAAAAUGCAGUUUUUGCUUUAUAUCUUUGAAACCAAGACAUUUAGGGCAAAUCUUUCAAGAUUUUAAUGUCCAUCAGAAUAAGAUAUAUCCCCUCACAAAUUUUCAGUUGAAUCGGACAACCUAUUAUCUUGAAUACUAUUAUAGAUAGAGAUAAACUGUAAACAGCAAUAAUGUUCAGCAAAGUAAGAUCUACAAAUAAGUCAGCAUGAUCAAAAUUGUUAGAGAACCCCCUAAGGAGUUAUUGCCCUUUAGAGUCAAUAUUAAACAACUUUUCCUCAUUUUUGUAACUUGUAUAAAAAUCUUUUCUAAAACUACUUGGCCAAUUUAACCAAACUUGGCCACAAUCAUAAUACUAGGGUAUCUAUUUUUAAAAAGAGUGUCUAAUGACCCCGUCUACCAACAAAGAUGGCCGACAUCAGUAAACACAUUAACAGGUGAGCGACACAGGCUCUUGAGAGCCUCUAGUUUAUAUAU